GCGAGACUAGGAUCGAGGCUAGGUCUUGUCUUGAAAGACAAGCAGCUGGAGGCGUUGAAGUGUCUGUAGUACGCUGGUGUUUAUGUGGGUACCGUACCGACCGGCUAUGGCAAGUCCCAGAGCAAGUCCAUCUGCUUUCCAGACACUCCCUUUCUUGAUUGAUGUGAAGCUUGACAGGACCAGUGCACCUCUCUCUGAAGGAAGUGUUGUGAUGGUGAUUUCUCCUCUUGUUUCUCUGAGUGAAGCCAUCUUCAAAGUGUUGGUGUGUCUGUUCGACGUUCAGUGCCAUUCUCUCUGGAAGGAAGUAUUGUUGUGAUAUUUGCCGAAAAUUGGUCACAGAGUAAGUACGUGGUAUCUGAUCCGAGAACUGUGUGGCCUGAAUGUGUUUACAAUCCGAGGGACUUGUGUGUAUCCGAUCCGAGGGACUUGUUGCUUGAGUGUGUAUUAAUGGAUAGUGCUUUCAAUGGUUUAACUAAUUUCUUAUGAGAUUAACUUGUCGCCUGAGUGUGUAUCCGAUCUGAGCCUCAAGUUAAUGAAUAAAUCUACAGAGCUGAUGUUUUACUUAGCUGUCUCUGUCUACAGUAUAUACAGAGAGGUAGCCUCUCCUUUUUCUUUUUUCUGUUCUUUAUCACAAUAAGAUAAAAUACUGUUUUAA
Molecule: long non-coding RNA, 655 nt
Organism: Halichondria panicea
Lineage: Eukaryota; Metazoa; Porifera; Demospongiae; Suberitida; Halichondriidae
Exons: 2
Source: RefSeq, a predicted model, not a curated record